RNAcentral lists this ribosomal RNA (497 nucleotides) under uncultured bacterium. Its description in RNAcentral is "partial 16S ribosomal RNA". It matches the Rfam family "Bacterial small subunit ribosomal RNA", at positions 28 to 507 of the family's 1533-position model. The record is from RNAcentral.
GAUGAACGCUGGCGGCGUGCCUAACACAUGCAAGUCGAGCGAACACAUGGUGAGCUCUUUCUCCUGCCGUUAGCGGGGGGCGGACGAGUAACACGUACAUCACCUUCCUCUUAUACUGGGAUAAUUACGGGAAAACGCUUAUGAUACUGGCUCAUAUAUUCUACCGCUUGGAUCAAUAGAUCUAGAGGGCUUUCCCGUUUCAAUUAGACGGUUCCGCGCCGCAUUAGCUAGUUGGUAAGGUAACGGCUUACCAAGGCAACGAUGCGUAGCCGACCUGAGAGGGUGAUCGGCCACACUGGAACUGAGACACGGUCCAGACUCCUACGGGAGGCAGCAGUAGGGAAUCUUCCGCAAUGGGCGAAAGCCUGACGGAGCAACGCCGCGUGAGUGAUGAAGGUCUUCGGAUCGUAAAACUCUGUUAUUAGGGAAGAACAGAUGUGUAAGUAACUAUGCACGUCUUGACGGUACCUAAUCAGAAAGCCACGGCUAACUACGUG